This 253-nucleotide ribosomal RNA is filed under the name uncultured bacterium. RNAcentral describes it as "partial 16S ribosomal RNA". It matches the Rfam family "Bacterial small subunit ribosomal RNA", at positions 524 to 776 of the family's 1533-position model. The record is from RNAcentral.
UACAGAGGGUGCGAGCGUUGUUCGGAAUCAUUGGGCGUAAAGGGCGCGUAGGCGGCCAGACAAGUCUGGGGUGAAAUCCCUCGGCUCAACCGAGGAAUGGCCUUGGAAACUGUAUGGCUGGAGUACUGGAGAGGAAAGCGGAAUUCCCAGUGUAGCGGUGAAAUGCGUAGAUAUUGGGAGGAACACCGGUGGCGAAGGCGGCUUUCUGGACAGUCACUGACGCUGAUGCGCGAGAGCUAGGGGAGCAAACAGG